RNAcentral lists this long non-coding RNA (7544 nucleotides) under Lactuca sativa (garden lettuce). Its description in RNAcentral is "long non-coding RNA (LSAT_LNC003177)". Lineage: Eukaryota; Viridiplantae; Streptophyta; Magnoliopsida; Asterales; Asteraceae. The record is from RNAcentral.
UGUUGCACUACAACUUGGAAGCAAUGGCAGGCCCUUGAGCUGCCAGGUGGCAAGAAGUUAAGAUUGAGUUCAAUCCAUAUGGUUUUGGAUUUGUCACUAUCUUUGUCCUGUGAUUAUGGUUUUGACAAAUUCAUAUGGGUAGGAACUCAUACACCAUUAAAUCUAAGUGUCAUAAGGUUUCUCUCCGAUUCAUGAAAAUGAUGGUGAGGAAACGCUUUCACUAAGUAGAUUUUAGCUAGAUAGCAAUUGUGAUGUUUGCAUUCUCAAAGUCGUUAGUGGAGCACGUGUGGUUAACCGGCACACUAAUUUGGACUUGUGAGAAGUGGCAAAAAGGUCUAAACAUUAUGAUUACGGCAUCCCUCUUCAUAAUUGUUUAGAUACACAAGUGUGCUAUCUAAGGGAAGGUGUAUGAUUUUGAUAAAGACUUAUCAAAACAAUCUAGUAUCAGAAAUCUGAACUUUGGUAAGAAAGUCAGCUGAUUUCUGAGUACAUGUCAAAGCUAGUGGGAGCAUAAGUGUUAUGCUAAUAAUCAUCAUGUUAGUGGGAGCAUGAUAAUUAUGAUAAGUAUUGCAAGUUAGCAAUGUUAAUUAUAGAAAACAAAAGGUUUCAAUUGGGAAAAGUUGUUUUGCUAUAAUUAAGGGAGAGGAAAUUAUACUUCAUCUCAAAUCUAUAAGCUUAGAUCGUGAGGUUUUAAUCAUUUAGUCAAGGAUAUAUAUGAAUUUCAUGUUGGAAUGGCUCAACAUAAGGAAAUUCUGUAUAUGGGUCCAUUAUUUGCGUUCUAAAAUUCGAUUAUGAUUACGGCAUCCCUUUUCAUAAUCUGAAUUAUGAGAACUUGGCAAAUUGAAAUGGAAAUAUUAUAGCAAAAGACUGGUUUAGUCUUUAUGUAAGACAUCAUGAAUCGUGUCCCAUAUGCUUCGGAUAUAGGAUCGAUUACAUGUGCUAUAUUCAUCCGUUCUAAAAUUUUCCAAAUGCCUGGGGCAUUAAGAAGGGAAAAGGUUUAGAACUGGAUAUGACUAAAAGGAUUAAACAAUUGUCGAGGACAAUCUAAGGUUUACCAAAGAUUGGUUGCUCAAGGACAGUUGGAAGUAUAGUGAUAAUUCUGGAAGGACCAUAUUGACAUAAUCUGUAAGGAGGCAACUCUUGUUCAGAAGUGAUAGUCAAAAUGGAAUCUGGAAAUGUUUCAAAGUUAGAAUUUUCAAUCUGUGUAAGAUUAAGGAAACUUAAUGCAAGAAGGAUAUUUCCAAGGAGUUGAUCUCCUUUGGAAUACUCUGUAAUGAUUGUUGCCAAGUCUUUGUGACUUUGUGCAUAAUCGUUACAAGAGGAUCAAUGCAUAUAAGUUUAGAAUCUAACAGAUUUCUGUAAAUGGCAUGAAUUUGGAAUUCUUGCAUUUGCAGUAAGGAUUUGGGAGUGUGAAAAGAGAAUCAUUGAAGUUAUGUUCAAUUGAUCUAGUUCACAAAGUAAAGAUCAUAGACAAACAUAGUAUGCAUACUUGGUGUGUGGCAUGACUAGUGUUUAAGAAAACAUAGUGUACAUGCUUGGAGCAUGGGACAACUAUUGUUUUAAAUUCAAGAAUAAAGUUGAUAGCUGAAACAGUAUACAAUGAAUAAUGUGUAAUCAUAUGGUGAUAAAUAAAAGGUGUUUUAUUUAUGUUCAAAGGGUUGAUACCAUAUUGGAUUCAAUUAUUAUUGUGUUUCAUUUUGCAUGUUUUGACUUCCCGAAUAAACUGGGUUAUUCUUCCGGAAUGACUAAGUUAUUCAAACCAUCCACAGUCGGUCAUAUGUUGGAAGUAGAUAUGAAUUAAGACUGUCAUGGGUUGGCUUGUAGAGGUCUAAGGUGUUGGACAAAGGGCUACAACACUCAUGAGUGCUCAUAAGUUCUGAGUAUUGGAUUCAACCCGCGCUCAUUGGAAUCACUUCAUGGAUUUUAUCACGAGUGAUCAUGAGACGAUAAUAUCUUAUAUUCUUCAAACCUAGAGAUAUGAGUUGUUACUAUGAGUUGAUAGUACAUUGAUUGCACGAAAACGCAUUUGGUAACUCGGUGCUAUAAAACGUGCCUUUGUGUAUGAUUCAACAAGUAGUAGAACAAGCCAUAUGAGUCGAAGUUUAUCCAUUCCUUUUACCUUCGGGAUAAAAGCGAUAUCUGUGGGCCCCUCGAUGAUUUGAUGAUGACAAAUGGAAGUGCUCGGCCGGGCCAGGACUGAUUUGAUUUGUUCAAUUAGUCAGUCGUCAUAAAUCGGAAAUCGGGAAACAACAAAUGGACAGAGAGAAUGAUUAUAAUCCAUGUCUCAGUCCAUAUGAUAUCUAGAAUGGAGGAAUAUAUGAUCCCUUAUCUAAUGGACAAGUCAUUGACAAAGGUCAGAGUUCAUCUACAAGGUCAGAGUUCGACAGAAGCUUUUGAGAGCUACGAUUGCCAGUUGGUUCCUGAAGUCAUACGCAAUAAUAGUUUUAGACUUAUCCAAGUGGGAGACUGUUGGAUUAAUGUCUAAGUCCAUAACUAUAAUUGGUAAGACUUGACCCGACCCGGCAUGGUCCAUUUGGGUUGCAUACCAUCAUGCACUUGGAUAGACUAUAAUGAGAGAAAUAAGACACUUAUGGUUAUUAAUAUAUUAUAAGUUCUAGUAUAUUAAUAAUAAGAAUAAUAAGAUUAUUUAAUUAGUAUUGAUCAAGAAUUAAUCUAGGAUUAAUUAAGUGAUCAAAAGAAGACUAAUUAAAUAUAUGGGUUGAUUGUGUAAAUCAUCCAUACUUGUAUAGUGGGCUAAUGCUCCAUGGAUAAUCAAGUUGGGCUAAAACCCAUAGGAUGGUCCAUGGAUGCUCCAUGGUGUAUUUGUACCCAUGGAUCCAAGGAAAUGGAAAGCCAUGACAAUUAAGAGUUUACCCUAAUUGUGUAACUAUAUAAGCAUCUUAUUAUUGAGGAAAAAUCGGCCACUAGUAGUAUUCAAGAAAGGGCUAGCCGAUUUUGGUGAGUGUAGAAUUCUCUCAAGUCAUUCUAAGUGUUUUGAUGAUUGUGAUUCCAUUUGAGGUGUCACACUUGGGGCACUAAGCACUCAAGCUUCAUGAAGACUUUCUACAUCAAGAGGUAUGUAUUCUAUCUUGUUACAUUAUUGUUUUGUAUGCUAGAUUAGGAUAAUACCUUGGAAGUUCUUAUUUGCAUGUAUAAUAGAGAAAACAUAGAUCCAAGGUAUUUAGGGUUGCAUGUACACUUAGGAGUGUUAGAAUGCUCAAAACCCAACAGUGGUAUCAGAGCCUAGGCUUGUUUUCUUGUUAUACCUGCAAUAGAAGCUGAAAAAACGAAUCUGGUGCUGUCUGGCCAUCAGACUCGGCGAGUCCAUCAGGAGACUCGACGAGUCCAUGCCUAAAAAGUGAUGAAUUCGAUCCAACUCGCCGAGUUUGUUCAUGCACUCGACGAGUUGGACCCCCAGACAGCAUAUUUUCGAGUUUUUUGGCUAGAAAUGGACUAGGAACAUUACCCUAAGUUGUUUUUGAACUUAUAAACUUGUUUUUGAUGUGGUAAUGUUCAUGCUAAUCCAUUUUCAAAGAUAAUUGUCAAUAGAUUCAUGUUUUGUAUUAGUUUAAGGUUUAGACUAAUUACAUGAAAAAGUUUGAUUUGAAUUAUCUUGUUCUUAUGAGUUGCUUAGAUUAAUAGAAAUGUUGAGUGAAAUAGUUGUUUUCAAUCCAUUUUAAUCUAAGAGUUGAGUAUAAAAUGUGUUUGUGUAACUUGUCCUCAAGUUACAUGAAGAGUCACAUUAAAGACUCAUAAAACUCAUAAGAGUUGGCAAUGGUUACAAAAUGAAGAGUCUUGUGUCAUUGAAUAAUUUUUUUUGACUCCAUAACUUGUCCUCAAGUUAUGGAAGUUCAAGAGUCACUUCAUUAAAGAAAAAUAUGUAACCAUAAUUAAAUCCAUAAGUUAUAAAAUAAAGAAAAAGUUAGUUCUUUUAUUAGUUUAAAGUCUUCCAUAACUUGUCCUCAAGUUAUGGAACUUGAAGAGUUUUUGGAUUAAAACUACUUUAAACACAUAAGUUAUGGAAUUAAUUAGUUUUGAAUAGUUUCAAAACUUGCCCUCAAGUUUUGGAAUUUGAAAAGUUUUCAAGUAUGAAUACUUUAAUUCCAAGUUAGCCCUUAGAAUUUUAAAAGUUAAAAUUCAACCCUUAUACUUUAUAAUAUUAUAAGUUAAUAAUAUAUAUAUGUAUAAGAGUAAAGUCAGUCUUACCGCUAGUACGCCUCAUUCACGAAGCCGGUCUAUAAGGUGGGUAUAAGGUUGUUGCCUAUAAAAUGGCAACUUAAUGGGUGUCCACUCUCACCCACCGCUUGCUUGACUGGUGGAGGGUCGUUAGCCGAACGGGUUUGACAGGACUAGAAUUCUCCCUUCAUUAAAAGUAUUAAUGAUAAUACUAAGUAACUAAACUCUUAAUAAUACCCAAUCUUAGUUACUUAGGAAAAAUGUGAAUAAGGUGCUAAUCCAUGAAAUUACACUUUACACUUUGUCUAAGUCGUUAGUGGAGCGUGUGUGGUUAACCGGCACACUAACUUGGACUUAACAAGGUAGGUAAAGGGUGACUUAAUAUUUAUCAUAGUAUCGAUGGAGCGUGUGUGGUUAACCGGCACAUCGAUUGAGGGGUAAUUUAUUAAGGGUACCAAGUGAUUUGCAUGGUUACUUCACACCUUGUUUUGUGAUCCUCGGCAUCCCAGUCACAAAACCUGAAGGGCACACUCGAGAUUGAAACAUGCCUUUGAAAAGUUCAAUGAAUCUCAAAGAUCUAGGAGUUUCAAAACCAAUUAAAACCUAAUAAUACAUUUCGUUUAUCUUGGUGGAAAUUGGUGAAUCGUCAUUCACCUACCUUCAAAUAUUUUAUAGCUUGGAUUACGGCAUACCUCUUCUAAGUUAUAAAAUAGUUUGUUGGGUCCUAGCCUUAAUAUUUCAUAUUGGGUGUCAUAUUAAGGACUUUAAAUCAACUAUCUUGAAUAUCUCCCAAAAGAUGUCUGGUUUAGACACCUAUGAUCUUCCCAAAUCUCUUGAAACAAGGUUUCCUAAUGAAGAUGAUGUCCCAUGGAUAUCAUACUUCUUCACCUCUUCAAAUUAUUCUCCCUAACCCACAAGUUCUUGAAAAGUUUAAGGUCACUCAGGCCCUAUUGGCAAGGCAAGGUCUAGGUGUGGUCACAUCUUGGAGAUGUAGUCACAUAUUGACAAGCCGGGAGAGUUGGGUGUCAAAGUCUUGAGAAAGUUGGUGGUUCAACCACUUUCUAAGUCACAUAGUGAGUUCCUUUGGGACACCUAUGAAACAGACUAUGACAAGACCCUUAAUGAUCUUAUCUAUUUGCUAAGAUCAACUUCCUAAAACUUUAUGGACAUUGACAAUGAUGACAUUGGAUAUCCAGUAAAGCAUUCUCUUCCCAAUGGAAAGGGAUCGGCCAUAGUCAACUCGGUUGACCAAAUGGUAAAGAGAAAAGCUAAGUCUGUGAUAGUCCCGUGUACCAUUAUCAAAGGGUCCAUAUGUUUAUAUUGCCAAAGGAAGGGGCAUUGGUUGCGAAGCUGCCAAAUUUACCUAAGGAUGUUAAAGUCAAUAAGUUUGACUCUACUUCAGGUAAAGUCCACUAUCUAACUCUGUUAAGUUUCUAUUCUGAGAUUCUUGAUACAUGAUGUGACUGGGUCACAUGGUGAUGUUUUAAGAAUCAAAGAAAAGUGAAGAAACUUAAAGAAAGAAUAUGCUGAAUCUGAUGGCGUAGAUGGAUUUCUAUCGCAUAGUUUGAAGAUCGGAUUCUUGAGCUACUUCUUAGGAGUUAUGAGAUAUUGCUUAGGAAUAGAUAACAACAAGUUUUCAUAUGGAUUGUAAGGAUAAGUUUUUCCGCAAAGUUUUAAAAUAAAAGAAAAUUUUUUUGAUUUUAUUUAUUUUAAAAUAUCCUUACAAUGGCAUUUGAGGAAAAAUUGUUGCUUAUAUGAUUCCAUUAAGAGCAAGAGUGGAAAUAUGAAAUUGAUUCUUUCAUUUGUGGUAAUGUCUAAAUUUACCAAAUAAGGAAAGAUUCUCAUCACCCAAGUUUCAAUUGGACCGGAACUUGGAAUCAUGCAAGUUGUAUAGCAUGAUGAAUGAGAACUUUCAAGUUUUGGAAAAUUAAGACUAAUUACUUGUUCACAUGGAUGUGUGAGUCAAGUAAAGGACUUAGGGAUCGAGUACACAUUCUUGUGCACUGAUUAAGUCCACCACUAAAGAUCGAUAAGAAGAAUCAAAUAAGGCAGAAGGAUAAAAGUUUCUCAAAUCUGAAAAGAUGGGAGAGUACUUUAGUAUCAGUUUUGUGAUCAUCUUAAUGAUUAAGAAACCAUAUCAAAAUUAGUUCUCUAAGGAAAUCUUAGUGCAUUCUUAUGACUAAGAAGAGGAACUUGAAUUGUUGAAAUGGUUAAAUCAAGAAGAUGAGUCAUACUUCGUUCCAAUACAAGUCUUAGAGUCAUACUCCAAGAUUGUCAUUUGAGUGACAUGUCUUAAAGAAGGUUUAAAACACUUGUCAAAUGUAAGAGUAAAAGUUUUCUACUCUUGUACAUUUGAAAUUGGUAAGUUGUGAUGUUUUGGAUAAAACAAAGACCAACUUAGGCCAAUUGGGUAAAGUGUUUUUCUUGAUUAGAAUCCGCACUAUCUCUUGGAUGUUUGACAAGGGAGUCUUAUAUGUCAAGAGGACAGUGGGAGUCUUAAAGGUCUUGAAAGUCUCAAGAAAUAAUCAAGAAUAAAACCUAAAGUUCUUCACUAGCACACGACUUGAGGUUUAUAACCUAUCGUGUUGACAUAUCUGUGCCCAUUCCAGUUAAAGUUGGCUUUGCAUAUGAGUUCUUAGAGUUCUCAGUUUGUUGCAUAACAACUUGGAAGCAAUGGCAGGCCCUUGAGCUGCCAGGUGGCAAGAAGUUAAGAUUGAGUUCAAUCCAUAUGGUUUUGGAUUUGUCAUUAUCUUUGUCUUGUGAUUAUGGUUUGACAAAUUCAUAUGGGUAGGAACUCAUACACCAUAUAAAUCUAAGUGUCAUAAGGUUUCUCUCCGAUUCAUGAAAAUGAUGGUGAGGAAACGCUUUCACUAAGUAGAUUUUACGAAGAUAUCAAUUGUGUUAUUUGCAUUUUCAAAAGUCGUUAGUGGAGCGCGUGUGGUUAACCGGCACACUAACAUGGACUUGUGAGAAAUGGCAAAUGCCUAAGCAAUUGAGACCAUGAUUACGGUAUCCCUUUUCAUGGUUCUUGAAAUUGCUUAGACACACAGGUGAGCUAUCUACGGAAAGGGUGUAUGAAUCUAAAUUUCAGACUGUCCAGCUGAUUUCUGAGUACAUGUCAAAGCUAGUGGGAGCAUAAGUGUUAUGCUAAUAAUCAUCAUGUUAGUGGGAGCAUGAUAAUUAUGAUAAGUAUUGCAAGUUAGCAAUGUUAAUUAUAGAAAACAAAAGUUUCAAUUGGGAAAAAGUUGUUUUGCUAUAAUUAAGGGAGAGGAAAUUAUGCUUCAUCUCAAAUCUAUAAGCUUAGAUCGUGAGGUUUUAAUCAUUUAGUCAAGGAUAUAUAUGAAUUUCAUGUUGGAAUGGCUCAACAU